RNAcentral lists this ribosomal RNA (474 nucleotides) under uncultured bacterium. RNAcentral's name for it is "bacterial SSU rRNA". It matches the Rfam family "Bacterial small subunit ribosomal RNA", at positions 33 to 518 of the family's 1533-position model. The record is from RNAcentral.
ACGACGCUGGCGGCGUGCCUAACACAUGCAAGUCGAACGGACUGAUCCCUUCGGGAUGAAAGUUAGUGGCGGACGGGUGAGUAACGCGUGAGCAACCUGCCUUUCAGAGGGGAAUAACGUUUGGAAACAGACGCUAAUACCGCAUAACGCAUAGGUGUCGCAUGGCAUUUAUGCCAAAGGAGCAAUCCGCUGAAAGAUGGGCUCGCGUCCGAUUAGAUAGUUGGUGGGGUAACGGCCUACCAAGUCGACGAUCGGUAGCCGGACUGAGAGGUUGAACGGCCACAUUGGGACUGAGACACGGCCCAGACUCCUACGGGAGGCAGCAGGUGGGGAUAUUGCACAAUGGGCGGAAGCCUGAUGCAGCAACGCCGCGUGAGGGAAGACGGUUUUCGGAUUGUAAACCUCUGUCUUUGGUGACGAAGAAAUGACGGUAGCCGAGGAGGAAGCCACGGCUAACUACGUGCCAGCCGCUGC